This 460-nucleotide ribosomal RNA is filed under the name uncultured bacterium. RNAcentral's name for it is "bacterial SSU rRNA". It matches the Rfam family "Bacterial small subunit ribosomal RNA", at positions 28 to 507 of the family's 1533-position model. The record is from RNAcentral.
GAUUAACGCUGGCGGCGUGCAUAACACAUUCAAGUCGAACGGUGACGGGGCUUCGGCCCCUGAUCAGUGGCGGACGGGUGAGUAACGCGUGAGCAAUCUACCUUCCAGUACGGAAUAACAACCGGAAACAGUUGCUAAUACCGCAUGAGACCACGACCCGGCAUCGGGAUGGGGUCAAAGAUUAAUCGCUGAGAGGUGGGCUCGCGUCUGAUUAGAUAGUUGGUGGGGUAACGGCCUACCAAGUCGACGAUCAGUAGCCGACCUGAGAGGGUGAUCGGCCACAUUGGGACUGAGACACGGCCCAAACUCCUACGGGAGGCAGCAGUGGGGAAUAUUGCACAAUGGGGGAAACCCUGAUGCAGCAACGCCGCGUGAGUGAAGAAGUAUUUCGGUAUGUAAAGCUCUAUCAGCAGGGAAGAAAAUGACGGUACCUGACUAAGAAGCUCCGGCUAAAUACGUG